GAACGCUGACAGAAUGCUUAACACAUGCAAGUCUACUUGAACUUCGGUUUGGGUGGCGGACGGGUGAGUAACGCGUAAAGAACUUGCCUCACGGUUAGGGACAACAUUUGGAAACGAAUGCUAAUACCUGAUAUUAUGAUUUUAGGGCAUCCUAAGAUUAUGAAAGCUAUAUGCGCUGUGAGAGAGCUUUGCGUCCCAUUAGCUAGUUGGAGAGGUAACGGCUCACCAAGGCGAUGAUGGGUAGCCGGCCUGAGAGGGUGAACGGCCACAAGGGGACUGAGACACGGCCCUUACUCCUACGGGAGGCAGCAGUGGGGAAUAUUGGACAAUGGACCAAAAGUCUGAUCCAGCAAUUCUGUGUGCACGAUGACGUUUUUCGGAAUGUAAAGUGCUUUCAGUUGGGAAGAAAAAAAUGACGGUACCAACAGAAGAAGUGACGGCUAAAUACGUGCCAGCAGCCGCGGUAAUACGUAUGUCACAAGCGUUAUCCGGAUUUAUUGGGCGUAAAGCGCGUCUAGGUGGUUAUGUAAGUCUGAUGUGAAAAUGCAGGGCUCAACUCUGUAUUGCGUUGGAAACUGCAUGACUAGAGUACUGGAGAGGUAAGCGGAACUACAAGUGUAGAGGUGAAAUUCGUAGAUAUUUGUAGGAAUGCCGAUGGGGAAGCCAGCUUACUGGACAGAUACUGACGCUAAAGCGCGAAAGCGUGGGCAGCAAACAGGAUUAGAUACCCUGGUAGUCCACGCCGUAAACGAUGAUUACUAGGUGUUGGGGGUCGAACCUCUGCGCCCAAGCUAACGCGAUAAGUAUCCGCCUGGGAGUA
This 820-nucleotide ribosomal RNA is filed under the name uncultured Fusobacterium sp. RNAcentral's name for it is "bacterial SSU rRNA". It matches the Rfam family "Bacterial small subunit ribosomal RNA", at positions 31 to 882 of the family's 1533-position model. The record is from RNAcentral. Lineage: Bacteria; Fusobacteriati; Fusobacteriota; Fusobacteriia; Fusobacteriales; Fusobacteriaceae.